Molecule: microRNA precursor, 67 nt
Filed under: Caenorhabditis brenneri
Lineage: Eukaryota; Metazoa; Nematoda; Chromadorea; Rhabditida; Rhabditidae
Description: microRNA cbn-mir-7622 precursor
Source: miRBase by way of RNAcentral
UCAAUUCAGGAUGGUGCAUAUGUGAAAACGUGCCCGAAUACACACAUAUUCCCUACCUGGAUUGACU